UACGGGAGGCAGCAGUAGGGAAUAUUGGUCAAUGGAGGCAACUAUGACCCAGCCACGCCGCGUGAAAGAUGAACGCCUACGGGUUGUAAAGUUCUUUUGUAUGGGAAGAAACUCACCCUUGCGAGGGUGCUUGACGGUACCAUAAGAAUAAGCCCCGGCUAACUCCGUGCCAGCAGCCGCGGUAAUACGGAGGGUGCAAGCGUUGUCCGGAAUUAUUGGGUUUAAAGGGUGCGCAGGCGGUUUCGUCAGUCAGAGGUUAAAGACCGGAGCUUAACUCCGUGUUUGCCUUUGAUACUGCGAGACUUGAAAUACAUAUGGGUAGGCGGAAUUCCUCAUGUAGCGGUGAAAUGCACAGAUAUGAGGAGGAAGACCGAAGGAGAAGGCAGCUUGCGUGGGUGUUAUUUGACGCUGAGGCACCAAAGAGUGGGGGGCGACCACGAUUAGAUACCCUGGUACUCCACGCGGUG
Molecule: ribosomal RNA, 467 nt
Filed under: uncultured marine bacterium
Lineage: Bacteria
Description: bacterial SSU rRNA
Rfam family: Bacterial small subunit ribosomal RNA
Source: RNAcentral